UACGUAGGGGGCAAGCGUUGUCCGGAUUUAUUGGGCGUAAAGAGCGUGUAGGCGGCCGUACAGGUCAGCUGUGAAAACUCGAGGCUCAACCUCGAGACGUCGGUUGAAACCGUACGGCUAGAGUCCGGAAGAGGAGAGUGGAAUUCCCGGUGUAGCGGUGAAAUGCGCAGAUAUCGGGAAGAACACCCGUGGCGAAGGCGGGACUCUGGGCCGAUACUGACGCUGAGGAGCGAAAGCGUGGGGAGCGAACAGG
Molecule: ribosomal RNA, 253 nt
Filed under: uncultured bacterium
Lineage: Bacteria
Description: partial 16S ribosomal RNA
Rfam family: Bacterial small subunit ribosomal RNA
Source: RNAcentral